Molecule: unclassified non-coding RNA, 260 nt
Filed under: Ulva linza
Lineage: Eukaryota; Viridiplantae; Chlorophyta; Ulvophyceae; Ulvales; Ulvaceae
Source: RNAcentral
UCCCCUGUGCUGUAUCGCUAUAAAAACCCCCUUUUGAGACUGCCUUGCCCUCUGCAUCUGUCUACAGCGGCCGCACACGAGCCUGCACGCCUGCGCGGCUUCGAGCCGCACACACACGAGCAGCCCGCGGCGCUGCAGCGCCCUCGCCUGCCACCAAUCACUGCCGGAGCAUUCCCCCCCGCCAUCACCCUUCGUCCGGCCGCGCUCAUAGCCUCGACAUCCGCUGCUUCUGGCGUGAUACGGUCAUACCACCAGGAAAA